CCAGAACGCAGUCUUCUGAAGACAACGCAUGAUUGAGACCGAUGAAGAAAGACCUGUGACUAUAUGAGGCCUCCAAAUUUCCUCCUUUUCUUUUGUAUUGUUUCACCAAUUUGGGCAAAGAUGGAACGUUGGCUGUUGAUUCAGAAAUUUCUGAUUCCCCUCUGCUUCUUUCAAAGACAAACGAAAGGUGAUACAAUUCUAACAAGCUGUCGAGGCCUCAAGUCACAAAGUUUGUGGUUAAUAAAACCAGG
Molecule: long non-coding RNA, 251 nt
Organism: Rosa chinensis
Lineage: Eukaryota; Viridiplantae; Streptophyta; Magnoliopsida; Rosales; Rosaceae
Exons: 3
Source: RefSeq, a predicted model, not a curated record